GAAGUGGAAGGGUGAAGGGUGAAGAGUGAAGGAGACCGGAAAGGUAAGGGGGUGGAAGGUGAGAGGUGAAGGAGACCGGAAGUAAAGGGGGUGAAAGGUGUACGAAGACAGGAAGUGUCAGGGGGUGAAGAGUGAAAAAUGUAGAAGAGCCAAACUGUCACGGGUUAUCCUCAGUUGCAAACACCCAGAGUGGAAAAAGCUAGAAAUAUAAGCCUGUUCUUUGGUGAUAGGGAGAAAGGGAGACCCCGAGGAGUCGACUGGAUGUGCCGUGUGCGGCGGCCGGGCCUACUCGCCACCCUCGGGAGGGCCCCCAGCGAGCGUGGAGGACGGAACCCCCGCAAUCACCGCUCAGGUGGUGGAAAACGGGGCCCCGGAAGCUUGAGGAAGCUCGUUGCAGCCCAGCCCCCCGGGGAGACACUGAGUCCAUCAGAAUUCCCCUCUGCCACCCUCGACUGGUCAUCGGUGGCCCGUUGGGCCACGGGGCCCCCCUGCAACCGUAAGGACGCAGGGAGAGGUGGGCGAGUGCGGAGGGCCUGGCUCCCCCGGUGCUCCUCCGAGCCCACCAGCAGGACUUUCUCUUCCCCCACCCAAGGGGGCCCACUGCGCUUUUCGUAGAUAAGGAAAACCGAGGCACGGGGAGGUGGGUUCGUUUCCUGCGGCUGCCGUCACAUGUCACCACACACUUAGCAGUUUAGAAGCACAGAGACGUGUUCUCUCUCCGAGGCUGACAUGGCAGGGCCGUGCUCCCGCCGGAGGCUCCAGGGGCGAGGCUCCUCCGUGCCUCUUGUAGCUUCUGGCGGCUGCCGGCUCUCCUUGGCUCGUGGUCACGGUCACUCCAGUCUGCAAGGCCGGCAUCUACACGUCCCUCUCAGCUCCACCGUCGUGGCGCCUUCUGCCCUGGGUGUGCGUCAGGUCCCCCCCCCCCCCCCCCCCCCGCCUCUCUCUUCUGAGGACAUUUGUGAUUACAUUUGGGGCCACCAGAUAUAACCCGGAACAGGCUCUCCAUUGUCAGCAUCCUUAAUUUAGUCCCAACAGCAAAGGCCCUUUUCCAAAUAAGGUAACAUUUACAGUUCGCACUCGUUAGGACCUGGUGUCUUUGGGAGCCUCUGUCAGUCCCCGAUGGGGAGUCCGUAACUUGCUCAAUGUCACACAGCGGAUUAAGUGGUGAAGCUGAUAGCUAAACCCCAGUCUGCCAGCCAGACUGAAAACCCCCUGCUCUUAAUACAUUCUUAUUCCCUUGUGCUCCGGAAACUUCUUUGGUUUCUUCUUUUUCAAUGUUUAUUUGUUUUUGAGAGAGAGAGAGUAUGCGUGCAUGCUAGUGGGGGCAGGGCAGAGAGUGAGGGGACAGAGGAUCUGAAGCGGGCUCCUUUGCUGACAGCAGCUAGCCCCACGGCAGUGGGGGGAGGGGGGGCUCGAACUCAUGACCUCAGGAGCCGUGAGAUCGUGACCUGAGCCGAAGUUGGAUGCUCAACCGACUGAGCCACCCAGGCGCCCCGUGCUCCAGAAGUUUCUAUUCAGAGGCCACCUUCAGAACAAUGUGUUCCCUCCUCAGCCCUGGUCGCCGACCGGUCACGUGGGUUGAGGGAUACCGUCAAAGCUUGCCUGCCAUAAGGCAUUUCCUCUCCUGGCCUUUCCCAGCCCAAGUCCGUAACCCUGCUGAGAGCUCAGGGUACUCGCAGGGACAACCUGUGGAGCAGUGGAGGCCGUCAUCCCGUUCAUUCACUCAUUCCUUCGCGCCACAGAACCAGAAAGGGGGAGCCACGUAAAAUCAAGCGCUGAAUUAAUGAAACUCACGUUGAUCGUCAGCUGCUGUUACUGUUAGCAAAAGAGAUAACCGGUGUGUUAUCUCCUGAUGGAAGAACACAGCAGGGCCUCCCCGUGGUGCAACCAGCAAGAUCCGGGCUGGGAGGGGCGCCUGGGGGGCCCAGUCGGGUAAGCAUCGAACCUCGGGCUCAGGUCAGGAUCUCAUGAGCCCCGCGCCGGGCUCUGUGCCGACAGCUCGGAGCCCGGAGCCUGCUUCGGAUUCCGUGUCUCCCUCGCUCUCUGCCCCUCCCCCACUCAUGCUCUGCCUCUUUUCUCUCUCAAAAAUAAACAUGAAAAAACUGAAAAAAAAAAAAAAAAAGAGAGAGAGAGAGAGAGAGAGAAAGACCCAGGCUGGGAGACACCCUACAGGGCAAAUGACCCAGUUCCUUCGCAGGUGCAUGUGCUCGUGCAUGCACACACACAAACACACAUACCCAGAGUCAAGAAACCUACGGGGUAAAAGAAGCCUGACAGACGUACCCAGCGAUUUCAGCACGUGAACUUAUUUGAAUCCUGAUUCCGGGGCAUCUGGGUGGCUCGGUCGAUGAAGCGUCCAGCUUUGGCUCAGCUCAUGAUCUCACGCUUCAUGGGUUCGAGCCCCGUGUCUCAGGCUCUCUGCUCUCAGCCCAGAACCUGCUCCAUAUCCUCUGUCCCCCUCUCUGCCCCUCCCCUGCUGGCUCUCUCUCUCUCUCUCUCUC
This is a long non-coding RNA of Neofelis nebulosa (Clouded leopard), 2501 nucleotides long. RefSeq lists it as uncharacterized. NCBI's taxonomy places the organism in Eukaryota, Metazoa, Chordata, Mammalia, Carnivora, Felidae. The transcript has 4 exons. The record is from RefSeq and is a predicted model, not a curated record.